AAAUUAUUGGGAUGGAUCAACUAGUCUGUAUACUGGGAAAUUAUAAUAAUCAAUAAAAGGUAUCUCAUUUUCAUAUCUAGCCUCAAUUACUAUUAACAGAGAAGGCCUUAAAAAAAUGCCUACUGGAAACUAAAAUUGAACGAAACCUAUCAAACUUAAUAUAGACCAAAACAAAUUUAGGGAGAUUUUUUAAAAAUCCAAACUCAUUUAUUAAAUCAACACUUAUGCCAAAUGUCUAACCUUACCUAGAGAAAUAUUAUGCUAUUACUUAGGUAAACUUUAAAGUAGAGGGUCAUCUUAAAAACAGUUUUAAAGGAAAUUUAUCUUGGCCAUGUUCCAAUGACACAAGUAGGAACAGGCCUAAUAGUUUAUCUGGGACAUAGACAAUUUCCUGGGGACACGUAGAAUCCUACAGGUAAACCAAAUGCCUAGAAAAUAAUUUUAGUAAGCUUUUCAAAAAUCCUACUGUUUUCAUGGAGAAACUCAAAAGGAUAGUAUAACACCCUGAAUUUAUAGGGGACCACCCAUUUUCAAAAGAUGAGUUCAUCAUCCAGUUAGCCCUAGACAUUCCAGGAGAUUUUCACAGAUUAAUAAUUCUAGCCAAGUUUAGGUAUUACACCAUAAUUAAAUAGAGCCCAAACAGAAAAAGAAAGGCAAACAUACUGACAGAAAGAAAUUGAAAUGCUAAUCUUACCCCAAGAAAAAUAAACUUCCCAGUUAAAAAUUUUACUCCUUUACUAAGUUAUAAACAGAUUUUAGAGACCUCUAAACAUUCAAACAGGGCCCCUGUCAACAGUGUAUCACUAAGAAAAAUGACUCUAGAAAUAAUUAUCCGUGAAAUAUUAGACAGACAGCUAUAAAUAAAUCAGCUCAACAGCCAAUAGCUAAUUUCAAUAAGAAAUUUAACAUGGCAGAGCUUUUCUCAACUUUAAUAAUAUGAGAUAAUGCCCUACAUACAUUGAUAUGUUUGAAAUAAGUAAAGUCAUCAUAAAUUAU
This 996-nucleotide long non-coding RNA is filed under the name Marmota monax (woodchuck). The record is from RNAcentral. Lineage: Eukaryota; Metazoa; Chordata; Mammalia; Rodentia; Sciuridae.